Molecule: long non-coding RNA, 1965 nt
Organism: Equus caballus (horse)
Lineage: Eukaryota; Metazoa; Chordata; Mammalia; Perissodactyla; Equidae
Source: Ensembl
GUAGGGGGCAAUUCGUUGGUUAUUAUCCAGAGAAGCUCUCAGGAGCAAUAAUGCUCUUGGUCGCAACUCUGAAAACCAGGGCAGCAGGCUGAGGAGCAGCCUCCACCGGUCAUGGCAAUGUUCCCAGAUCCAUGGAGCUCCAGGAGGUAGCAGGGCAAUGGGUUUCCUACCGUGUGACCCCGGGGUGAGGAGCCAGUUGGUGAGGUCCCGCACAGUGAGUUGAACAAGUGCAGUCUCCAGUAUGAUGGAAGUUCUUGGUGAAAGACAGCGGCCGCACUUUAUCAACAAGGGCGUGGCUGCCAGAUGGUGGCUCAGUCCCCGGGUUCCAUGAUGCUCCAGAACACAGAAACCUUGGCUCUGUGGUCCUGGGUGGUGGGGAAUGGAGUGGAGGUCCUGGAAAAGGAGUUGACAGAGCGAACUGAAUCUCUUAUGCACAGAAAGGAAGAAGAGCAUUGCAGAACAGUUAGGAGAAGACCAACAUAUCCAGGCUGUUAAUUUUUGACGGGAAUACCACAAAUAUGAUGCCGUGUUCUUCUUAGUACGUCAUAUCAGGAGGCACAUGCUGACACUUCAUCCUAUAUCCAGUGAUGUUGACUUUUACAACUUAGAUUUGGCCAAUGGGAUUCCUCUUCAAACUGGUCAUCUCUAUUCCCUGACUCCCUCCAUACAUACCAGCCAGAGAGAAGACUGGGAAAUAACAGCCCCUAGUAGUUUCACAGUGGAGAACACUCUUUCCCUCACUCCUAUGUUGACAUAUAAAGUUCAUAAUGAUGGAGGUGAUUGCCUGCUGUGUUUCCUGGUCCUACCUCACCCAGGGUACUGAGUUCAUCUGGACGUCACAGUAUGAGUCUUUCUAGAAGACACAACUUGCUUUCCCUUUGGGACACCAACUCUUUUCCCACCUAAGGCCUUGUGCUUGCAGUGAAAUUGUCUUUAUUCUUUACUCCUGACCAGACAGCACGUUGCACUCCUUUGGUGACAGUGCUUGGCUCAGGGGAAAGCGUGUGACACCUUCAGAGCUGUUAACGUGCGAUGAGACUUUUUCUGAGAUUUCUGAAACAUUGCCACUCUUCUCUACUAGACUGGAGAUUGUUAGAAGGGAAGGCUGGAUUCCUCAACCAUCUUGCUAUCCUGAGGAAAAAGCCUGCCUGAGUUUCUUUCUUAAAGAAAUGGAGCUGGGAGAUGAGAGGCAGUGAAUUCAGAUUCUGGGAAUCUUCCGGGAGCUCCUAUUUCAAACCACGCCCUUAAUGAAACUUACUCUGGAGGUUUAAUUAUGUGAGCCAAAAAAAAAUCUCCUUUUUGCUCAAGCUAACUUAAACUGGGUUUUCUGUCACAUGUAACCACAAUUGUUUUUACUGAUUCAAUUUAAGAGAGACAUUGGUAAAUUAAAUAAGCCCAGAGAAGAAUUGCCACAGGGGUGAAUGUGACCGGAACUGUGUCAAAGGGGUAGAAACUGGAGAAAGUAUGGCUUGAAGAAAGAAGAGCUGGUGUGUAUGUGUUCCAGGAGAAGAAGAAUGUUAAAGGUAUGGAAGAGGAUACCAAAGAAAGAGAAAUACUUCAAAUAUUUCAUUAGAAUUCAUGAUAGGAAGCUCCUGGGAAACAAAUUUCAAUUUUAAAACUGUAACAAUUUAAGGUGUCUGAAAAUGGGCUGAAUUGGCCUGUAAUGUUUGCUGUGUCUAGAAGGGUUUUUAAUAACUGAUCGGAGAUAUUGUAGAGCGAAUUCAAGCUGCCCAGUGGAUGGUGUCUUCUGGACUUCACUCAUUGAACGUCAUCUUCACAAUUUUUGCCAUGCGGGAAAGGGGAAACUUGUACCAUCUUUUGCUCAAUAUUUUCUUUGCAUCAAUUUCCUUUUUUGUCCAAAUAAGUUUAUUUUUAAAUGAAACUAAAUCGCUACUAUAAAUGGGAAAUAAGAAUCAGUGGCCAAAAAUAAAUAUAAUAAAACAAAACAAUGUUAUUAAAUUCUAA